AGCGAACGCUGGCGGCAGGCUUAACACAUGCAAGUCGAGCGGGCAUCCUUGUGGUGUCAGCGGCAGACGGGUGAGUAACGCGUGGGAACGUGCCCUUCGGUUCGGAACAACUCAGGGAAACUUGAGCUAAUACCGGAUACGUGCGAGAGCAGAAAGGUUUAUCUGCCGAAGGAUCGGCCCGCGUCUGAUUAGCUAGUUGGUGAGGUUAUGGCUCACCAAGGCGACGAUCAGUAGCUGGUCUGAGAGGAUGAUCAGCCACACUGGGACUGAGACACGGCCCAGACUCCUACGGGAGGCAGCAGUGGGGAAUAUUGGACAAUGGGGGCAACCCUGAUCCAGCCAUGCCGCGUGAGUGAUGACGGCCUUAGGGUUGUAAAGCUCUUUUCUCCGGGACGAUAAUGACGGUACCGGAGGAAUAAGCCCCGGCUAACUUCGUG
RNAcentral lists this ribosomal RNA (437 nucleotides) under uncultured bacterium. Its description in RNAcentral is "partial 16S ribosomal RNA". It matches the Rfam family "Bacterial small subunit ribosomal RNA", at positions 29 to 507 of the family's 1533-position model. The record is from RNAcentral.